Molecule: ribosomal RNA, 408 nt
Filed under: uncultured bacterium
Lineage: Bacteria
Description: bacterial SSU rRNA
Rfam family: Bacterial small subunit ribosomal RNA
Source: RNAcentral
UCGAGGAUCUUCGGCAAUGAGCGCAAGCUUGACCGAGUGACGCCGCGUGGAUGAUGAAGGCCUUCGGGUUGUAAAAUCCUGUCGAGGGGGAUCAAGGGCAACUUGAGUGAUCCCUGGAGGAAGCACGGGCUAAGUUCGUGCCAGCAGCCGCGGUAAGACGAACCGUGCAAACGUUAUUCGGAAUCACUGGGCAUAAAGGGCGCGUAGGCGGCUUCCUAAGUCAGGGGUGAAAUCCGGCAGCUCAACUGUCGCAGUGCCUUUGAUACUGGGAAGCUCGAGGGAUGUAGGGGUCUGUGGAACUUCCGGUGGAGCGGUGAAAUGCGUUGAUAUCGGAAGGAACGCCGGUGGCGAAAGCGACGGACUGGACAUCUUCUGACGCUGAGGCGCGAAAGCCAGGGGAGCAAACGG